UGGCACGAGCCCAGCCACGGUGCUGUGACCGGCGCAUUCUGCACUGCUGCCUCAGUGGUUUCCUAAACUUUACCUCUGACACAAAGCUUGACCACCCGCAGUGUAAGAUUGUUAAUAUUGUUUUUUCCUGUUCUGUAAUUGUCAUCUUUCUGUGUCUCGGUUUCUUCAGACAUGUAGUGACCAUACUAGAGGCUUUGUUUCUUAACAGCAUUGUUGAAGGGCAGGGUUCUUCUGUAUAUAGUUUUUGUCUUUUCACAUUUCUUAUUUUCAUGCGUGUGUUGGGAUGAGGAUAAAUGCAGUUGAUCAUGUUUAAAUAGUAUGCAAAACAAAACAACAUAACCAUUUCUUACCUCUAUGGAAGGUUUCCAUAAUAGUGCUGAAAUUUUCCUACUAGAUUAUGCAGUCUUUCUUUCUUUCUCUUUCUUCCUUCCUUCCUUUCUUUCUUUCUUUCUUUCUUUCUUUCUUUCUUUCUCUCUCUCUCUCUCUCUCUUUCUUUCUUUCUUUCUUCCUUGCUUCCUUGCUUCCUUCCUUCCUUCCUCCCUCCCUCCCUCCCUUCCUUUCUUCCUUUCUUUUUCUUUAAUUCUUAAAAUCUUAAAAUACUUAAGAAUUUUUACUUGGACCAUGGUGGUGUGUGCUUUUAGUCCCAGUACUUAGACAUAGGCAGGUGAUCUCUGUGAGGUUAAGGCUAGCCUGGUCUACCUAGCGAAUUCCAAGACAGUCAGGCUACAUAGAGAGACCCUGUCACAAAACAAAACAAAAACUUCAACAAAAUUUUGUGUGUAUGUGGGGGGGGGGGGCUGUGUGUGUGUAUACACAUGGGCAUGGAUUCAUGUAUGAGCAUAUGGAACUUAAAAAAUAACAUAGAAAGUACGUAAGGUGGCACAUGUCUAUAAUCUCAGCAACCUGUAGUUUCAAACUUUGAGAGCUGUGAUCAGGAGAAUUACAAAUUCAAGACCAGCCUGGGCUACAUAGUAAGACCUUGUCUCAAAUACAAACAAAUGAAAAUUCACCAACUUUGAUACACUGAAUAGCAGAAAGAUUUAAUACUGUUUCCUAUAGCAGACAUUUGGUUAAGAAUCUUGGGGUUUUUUUCUUCUUCUUCUUUUUCUUUUUUUCUUUUUUUAAGUUGUACCUGGUAGUGUAAGUCUUUAAUACCAGCUAUUUGUGAGUCUGAGGCAGGAGAAUUCUAGGUUCAAGACCAGCAUGAUAUGGAGGUGAGGGCUCUAAGCUCUUUCAUAUACUUCUGUCUAUAUCAGUUCCAAAGGAUUAUUGAAGUUGCGUGAAAAAAACUUAGUUCUUUUCCAUAAUGAUGGGAAAAAAACCAUCCCACUGCUGAAAUCCUCUAACUAGAAAACCUAGCCCAUAAAAUAGCUGAAAGUAGCUUGACAUUUGAAUCAUGCAUUGUCCAAAAGGGUUCAUUCUGUAGCUUUUAAAUGAAGUUUAAUUUUAAGUGUUGUCCUGGGAGUUAGUGACGUCAGAAAGAUCUAGCCAAUCAUGCAGUCUAAAGGCAAGCUGAGCGUGCUGGGAUGAGAGAGGCCUGGGCUAUGCAGUGAGACCUGUCUCAGAAAACAAAAAGCACACUGUGUUAGAAAUUCUCAGAACAGAGCAAUGAAUCAUUGCUACAUUUUGUUAUUUACUUACCACUAAAGGCUUAUAUAUUAUCCAGAGCUGUCUGGCUAUUUUGUGUACUAAGAGUAUUUCAGCUCUAAGACACUCAUUAUGAAAAUGUUCAUCUAUCAAAGCUGCAGCUUUGUUCAGAGCUGUCACAAACUGUCACAGUUUGUUAAGAAACAUGUGAAAUAAUUGGUAAACCUGGAUGGGGUGGCUCUUGCCAGUAAACAGGUAUGCGAGAAGCUGAGAUGGUCAGAUUGCCAUGGGUCUAAGGUCAACUUGAGUUACAGGGCAAAGAUCUUUUUUCCAAAAAGCACAUGGAGGAAGUUCGUGAAGCUGUCCCACAUACUUGGCAGUAAUCAGGUGGGUUAAUGUAACAGUGGCAGGCAGAGGUUUUGUGUCUUGAGUUGUCCUUUGUGGUUCUCGGGGUCAUCACAGAACUCAGCUCUCCUUACAAAUUAGAGUCUUGUAAUUUGGUCUAAGAAUAAGGAAUCCUGUGCUUUGUCACUGCUCAUACCUGUAACCUUGGGAAAUUUACUCAGGACCUCACAGUCAGCGCCCUCAUCCGAGCAGUGAAGCUGUGCUCUGCGUAUUGGAAGACCGAUCACAGAACAAUAUCAAGGUUCAUGAAGUGUCUUUAUGAUGAGAUUCCAUUGCAGGGUCCAAAAUAGAUCCUGUUUCUUUAAGAGAACUUAAAUGGCCUCUGGCAACUUGAGUUUGACCAUUUCUAUGCAGAAUCUUGUGGUUUUUAUUAUAAAUUGUAAUUGUAUUUCUUUGGUUUUGAGGUUAAUAACUUCCUGCAUUUCAAGUUUGUUUCACUGCUAUCUGGAAACAGGUGAAUUCUCUUCAGCUGUGUUUUUCCCUGGCUUAAAUGUUCUUCCUGUAUGAAGGAACACACACAGACACACAGAGAGACAUACAUACAUACAUACACACGUACAUACAUACACACACAUACAGAUAUACACAGACAAACAGAUACACACACACACACACACACACACACACACACACACAGAUACACAGUUGUAUUCAUGAAUAGCUACCUUCGUCUUUCAGAAAAUAGAAUCAUUAACUUCCCAUUUCUAAUGCUAUGGAUGUUGUGAUUGAGACUAGGUAUCUGGUCUGUCAGCCUAACACUUGUAUGACAAACACCUAAGGGGAACAGUUUUUAAAGGAAGAAAGGAGACAGGCCUUGCAGACCUGUAAUACCAACUACUCAAAAAGCUGCGGCAGGAGGAUUGUAAGUUUAAGCCUGCUUGAACUACGGAGUGAGUUCAAGGCCGGGUUGGACAAUGUCAUGAUAUUUCAUCUUAGAAAUAAAAAUUUAAAACCCCAAAGUCUGGGGACAGAACUCAGUGAUGGGUUACUUGCCUGGUGUGGGCAAAGCCCUGAAUUAAAUCAAUAACACUCUCUUCCCCCUUUAAAGUGAGGAAAUGUAUGUCUCAGCUCACAGUCUUAGGAGAGUCUUCACUGCCGCUUGACACCGUUGCUCCUGGGUGCUGACGGCUGACGUCCUUCAUGAGAGAAGGAUGUGGUGGAGCUAAGUAGGUCAUUCGGUAAUGAACCAUGUCCUCCAGAGCCACAGCAGGCUAGCGAAAGACGACUUUAAGCAGCUCUUUGACAGCUAGAAUGAUGCCUUCAAGAACACUGUAGGCAGAGUUUAGAAGGGAAGUGAGAGGCAUUGUGGGUGUGAGAUCUUAUAACUAAGAAAGAUACUGUUGAAGAGGCUGGGGAAAGGGUACGUCUCUAUCACCGGGCGCAACCAUCUCACUAGGAAACAGAAAACUAGGGUUGAACAAGCUCCUUGCCCAGCAGUGUGCUGUUUGAGAGCAGAGGUUAGCCCUGGAAUUUUCUUUUUUAUUCCACAGGUACCCAAGAACUGGGCAGGGCUUCCUUAGAGUCUAUGUAUCACCUCACCCGCCCUGUAACUUGCUCCUUUUUCUCUGCCUUCUCAGAUUUAACACCCAAAUGCGUUUCUUAGAGUUAGGAAUCAAAUUGUCGUUCACCCUCCAUUUUAGCAGUAAUUGGCAAGACUGAGAUCAACUCUAUUGGCAUAAGUGGAGUACUGAUAUGAAAAGAUUGGGGACAGACAGGAUGUGGUGACACACACCUCUAAUUCCAGUACUCAGGACACAGAGGCAGGAGGAUCUCUGAAUUUGAAGCCAGUCUGGUCUGCAUAGUGAGUUCGAGGACAGCCAGGGCUACAUUGAGACAGCCAGACCCAGACAAACAGCUAUAACAACAACAACAACAACAACAACAACAACAACAACAACAACAACUACAACAACAAAACAAAACAAAACAAAACAAAACAAAAAUGUGAACAAGCAAGAUGAAAGACACCUCUAGCAGUCUAGGGGGAAUUGUUACAUCUCAGGACAGUCUAGGAGGAAUUGUCACACCCUAGGGCAGUCUAGGGGGAAUUGUUACAACCAGAGCAGUCUAGGGGCAGUCUAGGAAGAAUUGUUACAUCUCGGGGAGUGUAAAUGACUGCCAGGCCUCCCCUGUCCCUCCCCCCCCCCCCCGCCUGUCCCCCUCCUUGAAGCUGAGGACUGAACCCAGGUCCUCUGUUCUCUCUCUCUCUUUUUUUUUUUUUUCCUGAGCUGAGGACCGAACCCAGGGCCUUGCACUUACUAGGCAAGCGCUCUACCACUGAGCUAAAUCCCCAACCAGGUCCUCUGUUCUCUUAACUGAAAAAUAAAACCUCAGGAUUUUAGCAGCCUGUAGAAAGAGGCCUGUUGAAUGCAGCCCUGUAGGGAGCCAGUCCCCUCCACUGAAAAUGUAAUUGAGAAACCACUAUGCUGGUCAGCAUCCCUUCCACUAAAGACAUAAUUGAGAAAACGUUGUGCUGUUCAACAUUUCAAGAGUUAAACAGCUUGUAAUCAAAUAAAUCAAAUUCUUUCUGCCUUUCUCUUCUCCUCAAUUCAGACAAAACAGUACAGUUCUGGAUAUGCAAUCAGAUGUGGUUUGUUAGCUGCUCGGCUAGUUUAAUGGGAAGGAAUUAAAUUGGGUCUAUUUGCCAUCAGUCUUGAUAAUUUGUAAGAGAGAGUAGAGAAGACACUGAUGAAAUUCACAGACGAGUGAAUGGAGGUCCCAUCAGGAAAGAAUGAGAGAUUAACUUUAAGGGUCCUAGGGAGACUGGAAAUGGGCAGGAAGUAAAAAUCAGCGUGGAAAAAUGUCUGUAGUUCAUCUGGGGAAAGAAAAAGAAGUCCGGGCAGAAUGGCUGAUAAUCAAGAGAAAGAAAGCCACUGGGGAUAGUGCCUAGGAAAUCAGAUAUCACAGAUGGCUGCCAAGUUUGUGUGGAGUGAUAAUCCUGAAUGUCCCUAUGUUCUCUGUCUGGGAGUGUCCUUCCGCGGCUCAUGUCAGAUGUGCUCGGAUGAAAAUGAAGCGAGGAUAUUAAGUUAUAAUAGGAGUCUCCGGAGAGGGCUUGAUGGACCCAGGUGGCUGUUAAUUGUCUAGCACACUUAAACAUGUCCUCUGCGCAGGCCGCUUUUUCAUAACCCAGUCCUUCUCUUCUUCCUGACCACUUAGCAACUUCAGAACUAUCCAUAAUGCCAACAGAAGAAAGCACAGAGUCCAGGGUUCAGCUUUUCUCUCACCUACGAUGAUCUGUCUACUUUGAGGAGAUGGAGUUAUAGGCAAUUGUGAGCCAUCUGGUUUGAUGCUGGGAACUCAAUAGCAGCAGUGUUUGUUUGGUGUGUGUGUGUGUGUGUGUGUGUGUGUGUUUGCUGGUUAGUUUUUGGGUUUUUGGGGGUUUGAGGUUUUUUUUUUGUCUUGUUUUGGUUUGGUUUUUUUUUUGUUUGUUUGUUUUUUGUUUUGUUUGUUUUUUUGUUUGGUUGUUUUUUGUUUUGUUUGUUUUUGUUUUGUUUUUUGUUUGGUUGGUUGUUUUUGUUGUUUUUGUUUUUGUUUUUGUUUUUGUCUCCCAGCACUCACUGCCACCCUGCCCUGUGUGUGAACAUAACUGAUAAACUAACUUCUAAAGGAAAGUCCCAUCGUGAUGAUGGGCUCAUCACAGAACCUAACCCUGUAGACAGUGAGAGUGGUCAUGGUCAUGGAGGAAGGUCAUGAGGGUUCUGUUGUACAGCAACUUAUCUGUUCCCACAAGCAAGAAAUAGAGCAGCCAAUAAGAGAGCUAGCUGUGAUCAGAAGAAACAGCAAAGAUUAACUAAAUAUAAAACAAACAUCACCAAGGUAUUAUUGCAUGGUAUGUCUUCAGGGCAUGUGCGCGAAAAUAAAUGUUGAAUGUUCGGGUGGCUCAUGGAUCCUUACUCCUUGCCUUCAAGGAUAAUGAAGAAAGAGAGAGGGCCUGGCUGGCUUAGAUUAUUUAUUUACCUGGCAUCCAUGAGGUCUCAGGUUCAAUCCCCAGUACUUCAAAAAAGUUGGGGAAGGGGCUUUAUGUAAAACUUGUCCCCGCAUCUGAUCAGAAUAGCCAUUAUAAUUCUGCUUAAGUGUAUCCAAGCAUGUAAUCAGAAGGGAAAGACUCAUUCAGGAAACAUUUGUCUGCAUAAUUUACAGAAACACCCAAAUUAUGUUUAAUCGACUACCAAUACCCCAUGGUCUCCCAAAUGCAAAAUUAAACUUCUGUUCAGUUCUCUUUUUCAUUCCAUUCUUGCUGUUCAGAUUGCUGGUUACAGAAUAUUUCGUUAUUUUUGUGAUUCCUACACCAGUCAUUCUUCCGUCUCAUAAGCUGACAGGUAAAAGGUCUUGUAAACUGACAAGUCCUAGACCUCCGAGCUCUUACAGAAUCACCCACUUUGUAUCUGAUGGGACGCUCAGAGUUCCGUUUACUUGGGUGUCUAUAGAAUGAAGAAGAGGAGUUUCCCUUGGGCUGGUGACAGCCCUGCAGAAACAUUGACUGCACAGUCUGCCCGCAGGCACUGCGUUCGAAGGUUGUGAAGCCCCAGAUUGUGAAAGUUACUGAGUCGGUGUGAACUGUAAAGGCCAUUCUGAGUGUCUUACGGAAUGUUCUGUUCUUCCUCACUCCGUGAACAUUUGGUGUCUUAAUUUACAUAGUCACAGUCUCGUUAUUGCCUUAGAAAAUGCCCGAGUGCAUUAUCAGCGGCAGACUCGCUCCCUUGUGCUCCUCCUGAGCGCAUGCAGAAGAGAGGUCAUAGCCCUCUGUGGACCAUGUGCUUUCAUCUCCACACGCCCAGCCCGAGUCCAAGCUGGUUUUCCGCUGGUGCCGACAUCUGGAAGUAUACAAGCAGGGAGGCGGUGCAAUCACUUACAUUUGGUUAGCUAAGUGGCUAAUUGCAGAUCCUCAGUUAAGAUUCAGUGUACUAGAAAUUUUUAAAUCAUUAUGGCUUAUCAUGGUGAAGUCUGGGUCAUAGCUACUUUACAAAUGUAAAUGAUAUUACCACCCUCCCUUCUCUGAUCCCUGCUAAGGGAGAGGAACAGUUCGAAGGAGUGUCUACUUACCUGAGAAGCAGAUACUAAAGAACUCUUACAGGAAGUUGCACGUCCUCCUGCCCAGAGCUGUCACUUCCGAAUGUCUUUAAUAUGUGUUCCUGGCACAUUAGCCUACAUCAGCGGCCAUCCCUGUAGAAGCUGGCCCUUGCUCUUCUGUCUCACCGGUCCCCAGUCCUGCCCCAUGAAUGUAACUUCAGGCCACGCUGACCAAUGUCCUUUAGAAAUCGUGAUGUUGAAAAGCCCUCAGACUUCACUCAGAAAUCCCAUCUACAACUUGCUUUAAAUUAAAGAAGAGCACAGGACAAGAGAAACCAAGAGGAAAAAAGAGGCCUCUCGCUGUCUGACUCACAUCUAUCUUCUUGCUCAGAGCUGGUCUUUCCGAUGACUUGAGCCACCAGAACCGAACUCCUUUCCUAAUUUGUUUGUCCCAGAAACCUGCCCUCCCAUGUGUUAAAGAUGGAAAUAAAGAAUUCCGGUCUCUGUUCUCCCUAA
Molecule: long non-coding RNA, 7518 nt
Organism: Rattus norvegicus (Norway rat)
Lineage: Eukaryota; Metazoa; Chordata; Mammalia; Rodentia; Muridae
Source: RefSeq, a predicted model, not a curated record